GACGUGAGGGGCGAACGUUGUUCGGUGUCACUGGGCUUAAAGGGCGCGUAGGCGGCCGUGCAAGUAAGGUGUGAAAGCCCCUGGCUCACCCAGGGAAUUGCGCCUUAAACUGCAGGGCUUGAGGGCCACAGGGGUUGGAGGAACUCCAGGUGUAGCGGUGAAAUGCGUAGAUAUCUGGGGGAAGGCCGGUAGCGAAGGCGUCCAACUGGGUGGUUCCUGACGCUGAGGCGCGAAAGCGUGGGGAG
RNAcentral lists this ribosomal RNA (245 nucleotides) under uncultured bacterium. RNAcentral's name for it is "partial 16S ribosomal RNA". It matches the Rfam family "Bacterial small subunit ribosomal RNA", at positions 524 to 768 of the family's 1533-position model. The record is from RNAcentral.